CAAAAUUGAAAUCAAAUCAAGUGGAUUUGAUUAUAAAACUGAAAUACAUGGUAAGUGGAUACUGGUUGGAGUAUUUACUCAAAAUUUAAUAUCACAAUUGGGCAAUAAGCUAAUGGGAAAUCCAAAGAAACGUACAACUUAGAAAUUAAAAAAAUAGUAGCAUAUUUUGACAAAUUAAUUGCUCUUUCAAGAACAAAUAGAAGCAUCACAGUAGCACAUAUAAUUCAAUCUAGCAUUACAAAAUAAAGAUGUAGGCAAGAUUGGUUAUACAAAGAAUCCAGCCAAGUUUCAG
This 292-nucleotide unclassified non-coding RNA is filed under the name Hevea brasiliensis (rubber tree). Lineage: Eukaryota; Viridiplantae; Streptophyta; Magnoliopsida; Malpighiales; Euphorbiaceae. The record is from RNAcentral.